This 200-nucleotide unclassified non-coding RNA is filed under the name Thelephoraceae sp. RNAcentral's name for it is "partial internal transcribed spacer 2". The record is from RNAcentral. Lineage: Eukaryota; Fungi; Basidiomycota; Agaricomycetes; Thelephorales; Thelephoraceae.
UUAAGUUCAGCGGGUAGUCCUACCUGAUUUGAGAUCAAACAUUCAAAGGGUUGUCCUCACUUAGGAGAGACAUCUGUGAGCUCCAGCGAACCUCCACUGCUGAAGGUUAACUGGUGGAAAACCACAAGCGUAGAUACUUAUCACACCUGUGAUGCCCACCAAACACUGACAAGCUGAUUCAUUUUAGAGGAGCGACCCAU